GAUCAUGGCUCAGGAUAAACGCUAGCGGCAGGCCUAACACAUGCAAGUCGAGGGGCAUCGGAUAGAGUACUUCGGUACUCUUGCCGGCGACCGGCGGACGGGUGCGUAACGCGUACGCAACCUACCUUCAACAGGGGGAUAAUCCGAAGAAAUUUGGUCUAAUACCCCAUAAUAUUCCGACAGGCAUCUGUCGGAGUUGAAAGCUUCGGUGGUUGGAGAUGGGCAUGCGUUGUAUUAGCUAGAUGGUGG
This 249-nucleotide ribosomal RNA is filed under the name uncultured bacterium. Its description in RNAcentral is "partial 16S ribosomal RNA". It matches the Rfam family "Bacterial small subunit ribosomal RNA", at positions 15 to 255 of the family's 1533-position model. The record is from RNAcentral.